GGAUCAACGCUGGCGGCGUGCCUAUACAUGCAGUCGAGCGAACAGAUAAGGAGCUUGCUCCUUUCCCGUUAGCGGCGGACGGGUGAGUAACACGUGGGUAACCUACCUAUAAGACUGGAAUAACUCCGGGAAACCGGGGCUAAUGCCGGAUAACAUUUAGAACCGCAUGGUUCUAAAGUGAAAGAUGGUUUUGCUAUCACUUAUAGAUGGACCCGCGCCGUAUUAGCUAGUUGGUAAGGUAACGGCUUACCAAGGCAACGAUACGUAGCCGACCUGACAGGGUGAUCGGCCACACUGGAACUGAGACACGGUCCAGACUCCUACGGGAGGCAGCAGUAGGGAAUCUUCCGCAAUGGGCGAAAGCCUGACGGAGCAACGCCGCGUGAGUGAUGAAGGUCUUCGGAUCUUAAAACUCUGUUAUUAGGGAAGAACAAAUGUGUAAGUAACUGUGCACGUCUUGACGGUACCUAAUCAAAAAGCCACGGAUAACUACGUGCCAUCAGCCGCGGGUAAUACGUAGGUGGCAAGCGUUAUCCGGAAUUAUUGGGCGUAAAGCGCGCGUAGGCGGUUUCUUAAGUCUGAUGUGAAAGCCCACAGCUCACCCGUGUAGGGUCAUUGGAACUGGGAAACUUGAGUGCAUAAGAGGAAAGGGGAUUCCUGUGUACCGUGGAAAUGCGCAAAAAUAUGGAAGAACCCCAGUGGCCAAAGGGAUU
Molecule: ribosomal RNA, 713 nt
Filed under: Staphylococcus sp. HPC121
Lineage: Bacteria; Bacillati; Bacillota; Bacilli; Caryophanales; Staphylococcaceae
Description: bacterial SSU rRNA
Rfam family: Bacterial small subunit ribosomal RNA
Source: RNAcentral